GAUGAACGCUGGCGGCGUGCCUAAUACAUGCAAGUCGAGCGAACGGAAGAUAAGCUUGCUUCUCUGAUGUUAGCGGCGGACGGGUGAGUAACACGUGGAUAACCUACAUAUAAGACUGGGAUAACUCCGGGAAACCGGAGCUAAUACCGGUUAAUAUUUUGAACCGCAUGGUUCAAAAGUGAAAGACGGACUUGCUGUCACUUAUAGAUGUAUCCGCGUUGCAUUAGCUAGUUGGUAAGGUAACGGCUUACCAAGGCAACGAUGCAUAGCCGACCUGUGAGGGGGAUCGGCCACACUGGAAUUGAGCCACGGCCCAGCCUACUACGGGAGGCAGCAGUGGGGAAGCGUCCGCAAUGGGAGGAAGGCUGCCGGGACCACGCAGCGUGGGGGGUGAGGGUACUCGGAUCGUAAUACUAUGCUAUGUGGGAAGAAAAGAUGUGUAGGUAACUGAGAACAUCUUGACGGUACCUUAUCAGAAAGCCACGGCUAACUACGUG
Molecule: ribosomal RNA, 497 nt
Filed under: uncultured bacterium
Lineage: Bacteria
Description: partial 16S ribosomal RNA
Rfam family: Bacterial small subunit ribosomal RNA
Source: RNAcentral